AGGAGGCAGCAGUGGGGAAUGUUGGGCAAUGGCCGCAAGGCUGACCCAGCGACGCCGCGUGUGGGAGGACGCCCUUCGGGGUGUAAACCACUGUCAGGGGGGACGAAUGUCGGGCCGGUGAAUAGUCGGUCCGAGUGACGGUACCUCCAGAGGAAGCGCCGGCUAACUCUGUGCCAGCAGCCGCGGUAAGACAGAGGGCGCGAGCGUUGUUCGGAAUCAUUGGGCGUAAAGCGCGCGCAGGCGGGUUCGCAAGUCGGAAGUGAAAUUCCGGGGCUCAACCCCGGAGCUGCUCCCGAAACUGCGAGUCUAGAGACCGGUAGGGGCCGGUGGAAUUCCCGGUGUAGCGGUGGAAUGCGUAGAGAUCGGGAAGAACACCUGUGGCGAAGGCGGCCGGCUGGGCCGGAUCCGACGCUGAGGCGCGAAAGCGUGGGGAGCAAACAGGAUUAGAUACCCCUGUAGUCCG
This 463-nucleotide ribosomal RNA is filed under the name uncultured bacterium. Its description in RNAcentral is "bacterial SSU rRNA". It matches the Rfam family "Bacterial small subunit ribosomal RNA", at positions 343 to 797 of the family's 1533-position model. The record is from RNAcentral.